GUGAAUCAUCGAAUCUUUGAACGCAUCUUGCGCUCCUUGGUAUUCCGAGGAGCAUGCCUGUUUGAGUGUCAUGAAACCCUCUCGGACCCGCCCCUUUUGCCGGGGUGGGUGUGGAUUUGGACGCCUGCGGGUCGCCGCUCGUCUUUAAAUGCAUCAGCUGGUCCCUUUUGUGGUCGUUCCGAACGACGGUGUGAUAACAAAACGCUUUAGUGCACCGUUUCGUCCCCCGGCCUGGGUCGCUUUAGAGCCGUCCUCCUCGGACCACUUUCAUGUCAUCUGACCUCAAAUCAGGUAGGACUACCCGCCGAACUUAAGCAUAUCAAUAAGCGGAGG
RNAcentral lists this ribosomal RNA (333 nucleotides) under uncultured fungus. RNAcentral's name for it is "eukaryotic LSU rRNA". The stretch from base 1 to 71 matches the Rfam family "5.8S ribosomal RNA", at positions 84 to 154 of the family's 154-position model. The record is from RNAcentral. Lineage: Eukaryota; Fungi.